This is a long non-coding RNA of Girardinichthys multiradiatus, 1058 nucleotides long. RefSeq lists it as uncharacterized. The transcript has 2 exons. Lineage: Eukaryota; Metazoa; Chordata; Actinopteri; Cyprinodontiformes; Goodeidae. The record is from RefSeq and is a predicted model, not a curated record.
GCGAAAUAAAUACCAACAAUGUGUAGCCCUGACUCACGCCCCUUUCUCGUGCUCUGUUGAAAAUAAAACUGCAGAACAUAUAAAGAACAAUCCUGCGCCAUGUUUUUCUCGUUAUGAUGGACCUCCCAUCACUGUCGGUCAGACGCACUGAUGCGCGACAAUGAGCUGAUCCAACGGAAGUAGAGGUGCAGGGCAUCCAUCUGGGGCUGUGGCUGUGUCAAAAUGCUGCAAUAGCACCAGACUGCAAUCUACUCAUUACCCUUGGUGUACUCAAGGAGCUGUCUGACGAUCAUUUGAUGCUUUAACCAGUACUGGUUGUGGGUCAAGCUGAAUCAAAUCAUCUUGUGAUUUCUUGUCAGUAUAGUCAUGUUAUUUUAUCUCUGCAAUUUCAUAGAAAGGACCAGAGUUAACACUUACCGACCAAACUAUCUCAAGUGAUUGCCAUAAUGGCUGCUCCUGGUCCAAGAUGAUUCCUCCUUUGAUCCUCCUUUGAGCCAAACUGACACCUUCCAUAAGCUCCUCUGGAAUCCUCAUCAGCCUCCAGAGUCGUCACUCGCAGCUCCUUCCACCUUCAAGUUCUCUGCAUGCCCACUAUCAUACUUGCCUUCUACAGACUCUGAAAACCUCACCCUCUUCCAUCAUGCACAGACGGAAAGAGAGCUCAGUUGGCAGUCUUGCCUUGCAGCAAGAAGGUCCUGUGUUUGAACCCCAGCCUGGGGUCUUCUGCAUGAAGUUAGCAUGUUCUCCUCGGGAAGUAUGGGUUAUCUCAGGUACUCCAGCUCCCUCCCAAAGUCCUAAAACAUGACUACAGAUAAGCAGAUAUUUUUUGGGAGCAUUAAACAUCAAGAAUACCAAAGGAAAUUAGGCAAGUAAUGGAUAAAGAUAAGAAGCCUAAAGCAGAGUUACAUUACAAAACAUCCAAAACUUUGAAUAUCUAUAAAAUCUGAUAGUAAAUGGCACCAUUGCAAAUCUAGUAAGACUGGGUGGGUGAAUACCAAUGCAUCCUUGGCUGUUUAUUUAUUAAAAACAAAAUAAAACUAUGUAUGGUUUUCCUUUCA